AUUGAACGCUGGCGGCAUGCCUUACACAUGCAAGUCGAACGGUAACGGGCCUUCGGGUGCCGACGAGUGGCGGACGGGCGAGUAAUACAUCGGAACGUGCCCGAUCGUGGGGGAUAACGUGGCGAAAGCUUUGCUAAUACCGCAUACGAUCUACGGAUGAAAGCCGGGGACCGCAAGGCCUUGCGCGGACGGAGCGGCCGAUGGCGGAUUAGGUAGUUGGUGGGAUAAAAGCUUACCAAGCCGACGAUCUGUAGCUGGUCUGAGAGGAUGAUCAGCCACACUGGGACUGAGACACGGCCCAGACUCCUACGGGAGGCAGCAGUGGGGAAUUUUGGACAAUGGGCGCAAGCCUGAUCCAGCCAUGCCGCGUGCAGGAUGAAGGCCUUCGGGUUGUAAACUGCUUUUGUACGGAACGAAAAGCCUUCUUUUAAUACAGGAGGGUCAUGACGGUACCGUAAGAAUAAGCACCGGCUAACUACGUG
Molecule: ribosomal RNA, 482 nt
Filed under: uncultured bacterium
Lineage: Bacteria
Description: partial 16S ribosomal RNA
Rfam family: Bacterial small subunit ribosomal RNA
Source: RNAcentral